This is a ribosomal RNA of Clostridium sp. CAG:302, 2928 nucleotides long. It matches the Rfam family "Bacterial large subunit ribosomal RNA". NCBI's taxonomy places the organism in Bacteria, Bacillati, Bacillota, Clostridia, Eubacteriales, Clostridiaceae. The record is from Rfam.
GAUUAAAUUUGUAAGGGCGUAUGGUGGAUGCCUUGGCAUUAGAAGCUGAUGAAGGACGUGACUAACUACGAUAUGCUUCGGGGAGAUGUACGUAAUCUUUGAUCCGGAGAUUUCCGAAUGGGGGAACCCACUAGUGGUAAUGCACUAGUAUCGUAUAAUGAAAACAUAGUUAUACAGAAAGCAACCCAGUGAACUGAAACAUCUUAGUAACUGGAGGAAAAGAAAGAAAAAUCGAUUUCCUUAGUAGUGGCGAGCGAAACGGAAAGAGCCCAAACCGACUUUAGAGUCGGGGUUGUAGGACCUCUACUUAAGAGUUACAAAUUCACAAUAUAGUUGAACUAUUCUGGAAAGUUUGGCAAAACAAGGUGAUAGCCCUGUAAACGAAAUAUUGUGAACUCUUUGAGGUAUCCUGAGUACAACGAGACACGUGGAAUCUUGUUGGAAUCUGCGGGGACCAUCCCGCAAGGCUAAAUACUCUCUAAUGACCGAUAGUGAACAAGUACCGUGAGGGAAAGGUGAAAAGAACCCCGGGAGGGGAGUGAAAUAGAAACUGAAACCGUAUGCUUACAAAAAGUUCGAGCACAUUAAUGUGUGAGAGCGUGCCUUUUGCAGAAUGAACCGGCGAGUUAUUGUAUUAUGCAAGGUUAAGUCGAACAGAUGGAGCCGAAGCGAAAGCAAGUCUGAAUAGGGCGCUUUAGUAUGAUGCAAUAGACCCGAAACCGAGUGAUCUAGCCAUGAGCAGGUUGAAGUUGGGGUAAGACCCAAUGGAGGACCGAACCGAUAUGCCCGGAAACGCGUACGGAUGACUUGUGGUUAGCGGAGAAAUUCCAAACGAACUCGGAGAUAGCUGGUUCUCCCCGAAAUAGGUUUAGGCCUAGCCUUGAUUGAAUCUGCCCGGAGGUAGAGCACUGAAUGUGCGAUGGCGUCGUCUAGAUGUACUGAGUACAAUCAAACUCCGAAUGCUGGGUAGUACUAAUCAGGAGUCACUGUAUGGGUGAUAACGUCCAUACGGGAGAGGAAAAGAAUCCGGAUCGCCAGCUAAGGUCCCAAAAUUUGUGUUAAGUGGGAAAGGAUGUAGAGUUGUCAAAACAGCUAGGAGGUUGGCUUAGAAGCAGCCACCCUUUAAAGAGUGCGUAAUAGCUCACUAGUCGAGUGACACUGCGCCGAAGAUGUACCGGGGCUAAACACAAUACCGAAGCUGCGGACUUGUACUUAUGUGCAAGUGGUAGGGGAGCGUUCUAAGGGCUGUGAAGGUAGACCGUAAGGACUGCUGGAGCGUUUAGAAGUGAGAAUGCCGGUGUGAGUAACGAAAAUUGGGUGAGAAUCCCAUUCACCGUUUGACUAAGGUUUCCUGGGUAAAGUUCGUCUUCCCAGGGUUAGUCAGGACCUAAGAUGAGGCUGAAAAGCGUAGUCGAUGGACAACAGGUUUAUAUUCCUGUACCACCUAUGUAACUGAUGGAGUGACGGAGAAAGCUAAUGAGAGCCAGUUAUUGGAUUCUGGUCUAAGUGCGUAGGCUAGUAUGUUGGGAAAUCCGCAAUACUAUUACAGCUGAAACAUGAUGGGGAAGUGAUCCUUCGGGUGAGCGAACUUUCAUGAUGCUACGCUUCCAAGAAAAGCUUCUAGGGCUAAUUGCAUAGGUGCCUGUACCGACAACCGACACAGGUGGUCAAGGAGAGUAUCCUAAGGUGAGCGAGAGAACUAUGGUUAAGGAACUCGGCAAAAUGACCCCGUAACUUCGGGAGAAGGGGUGGUCUAGCGAUAGACCCGCAGUGAAUAGGCCCAGGCAACUGUUUACCAAAAACACAGGUCUCUGCUAACACGUAAGUGGAUGUAUAGGGGCUGACGCCUGCCCAGUGCUGGAAGGUUAAAGAGAUUAGUUAGUAUGACGCAAGUCGAUAAUACGAAGCUUUGAACUGAAGCCCCAGUGAACGGCGGCCGUAACUAUAACGGUCCUAAGGUAGCGAAAUUCCUUGUCAGGUAAGUUCUGACCCGCACGAAAGGCGUAAUGAUCUGGGUACUGUCUCAACCAUAGACUCGGUGAAAUCUUAAUACCUGUGAAAAUGCAGGUUACCCGCGACUGGACGGAAAGACCCCGUGGAGCUUUACUGUAGCUUGAUAUUGGAAUUCGGUAAACUAUGUAGAGCAUAGGUGGGAGACUAUGAGACUAAGGCGCCAGCCUUAGAGGAGUCACCAUUGGAAUACCACCCUUAGUUUAUUGGAUUUCUAACCUAGAGCCAUUAUCUGGUUCAGGGACAGUGUCUGGUGGGCAGUUUGACUGGGGCGGUCGCCUCCUAAAAUGUAACGGAGGCGUUCAAAGGUUCCCUCAGAAUGGUUGGAAAUCAUUCAAAGAGCGUAAAGGUAUAUAGGGAGCUUGACUGCGAGACCUACAAGUCAAGCAGGUGCGAAAGCAGGACUUAGUGAUCAGGCGAUUCAGAAUGGAAUGGUCGUCGCUUAACGGAUAAAAGUUACCCCGGGGAUAACAGGCUGAUACCACCCAAUAGUUCACAUAGACGGUGGUGUUUGGCACCUCGAUGUCGGCUCGUCAUAUCCUGGAGGUGGAGUCGCUUCCAAGGGUUGGGCUGUUCGCCCAUUAAAAUGGCACGCGAGCUGGGUUCAGAACGUCGUGAGACAGUUCGGUCCCUAUCCGUCGUGGGCGCAGGAAAAUUGAGGAGAGCUAUCCUUAGUACGAGAGGACCGGGAUGGACCUACCUCUGGUGUAUCUGUUGUCACGCCAGUGGCAGUGCAGAGUAGCUAUGUAGGGAAGGGAUAAACGCUGAAAGCAUCUAAGCGUGAAGCCCUCUCCAAGAUGAGUUUUCCCAUUGUUUAACAAGUAAAAUCCCAGAUAGACUAACUGGUUGAUAGGCUAGAAGUGGAAGUGUAGCGAUACAUUGAGCGGACUAGUACUAAUAGAUUGAGGAUUUAAUCCC